Molecule: ribosomal RNA, 253 nt
Filed under: uncultured bacterium
Lineage: Bacteria
Description: partial 16S ribosomal RNA
Rfam family: Bacterial small subunit ribosomal RNA
Source: RNAcentral
UACGUAGGGUGCGAGCGUUAAUCGGAAUUACUGGGCGUAAAGCGUGCGCAGGCGGUUUUGUAGGCCAGAUGUGAAAUCCCCGGGCUUAACCUGGGAAUGGCAUUUGGGACUGCAAGGCUGGAGUGUGGCAGAGGAGACUGGAAUUCCUGGUGUAGCAGUGAAAUGCGUAGAUAUCAGGAGGAAUACCGAUGGCGAAGGCAGGUCUCUGGGCUGACACUGACGCUCAUGCACGAAAGCGUGGGGAGCAAACAGG